AUGGUUUCGUCAAUGAAGCAGUACAGAGAUCAGGCCGCCGGGGUGCCCAUGUCCCUCUCCCUCUCGCUCUCCCUCGGUGCCGUGGCCGACCGCAGCAAGAAGAUGCGCCGCGGCGGCGCCGACGGCGAGUUCGUGUGCAAGACGUGCGGCCGCUCGUUCCCGUCGUUCCAGGCGCUGGGCGGACACCGGACCAGCCACCUCCGUGGCCGCCACGGGCUCGCGCGCCGGAUACGAUCAGCCGGCGACCAGGAAGACCACGGACCAGAAGCAGGCGCACCGGUGCCACAUCUGCGGGCUCGAGUUCGAGAUGGGGCAGGCGCUUGGCGGCCACAUGCGUCGGCACCGUGA
RNAcentral lists this ribosomal RNA (348 nucleotides) under Triticum aestivum (bread wheat). Its description in RNAcentral is "partial small subunit ribosomal RNA". The record is from RNAcentral. Lineage: Eukaryota; Viridiplantae; Streptophyta; Magnoliopsida; Poales; Poaceae.